AUAAAAACAAUUUAAAUCAAUUUUAGAAUAAGGCUGUAAUGUAACAAAAUGUGGAAAAAGUCAAGGGGUCUGAAUACUUCAUAUAUAUGGUAUAUCUCUAUGUGUAGGACCCUGUCAUGAGGCACCUACACAGCCUCAGAGGGGUGUGUUGUGUACCUAUUGAGGAGGUGGUGUUGGGUUCACUGACCAGGCCACAACGCAGCACACUAGGGGGCUCAAUUGUUCAACUUCAAGCCACACCCAACCAGUGUCAAGAUAGAAGGUGGACAUCCUACCCAUAAUGCCCUCUGAGAGGAGUUGUAAAAGUCAGCAGUACUGGAGCUAGACAGCCCGUCGUGCCACUUUGUGGACAACGACUCCCACUGCUAGGGCGGUGAGACAUGUAUCUUGGCAGUAUAUCCAUAAUCUUUGGUUUCCUAAAGGUUGGUAGGAUGUUGCAUCAAGGUGCUCACUGGUCAUGGAGGCUCGUUUGAGACAUUCAUCCCUCCCUCUGGGGUUGUGUUUUGGACCCUUCCACUUUGAGGUGCUGCCAGCGUGGUGUGGUCGUUGUGACGCCUGAGCGUACAGGUCCUGCCUCCAUCUCAGGUCCAGCCAGACACACCUGCUGGCCCAAGCCUCAGAAUACCAAGAAGUGCCGUCGCGGAGGUGGCACUGGAGGAGGAGGAGGUGGUGGAGUGGGAGGAGGUGGUUCACUGCCAUCCCGUCUGGGCUUCAGGCAGAACACCACCACAGAGUUCCAACCAGAUGCCAUGUUGUCCCCCGGGAAGGGCCACAGGGGAGAGGGGACCCCCAGGGCCGAGAGGAGAGAGGGGACUUCCAGGUGUACCUGGAGUGACAGGGGAUGUUGGACUCAUGAGACCUCCUGGACUGGAUGGAAUGGCUGGAGCUACUGGACUGGAAGGAGAUAAAGGUGAGAAAGGAGAUCAAGGAAACAUGGGUCUGCCUGGUGCUCCGGGGCAACUUGGGAGACAAGGAUAGAAAGGUCUACUCCAGAAGCGAGAACGACAGCAUCUUCACCGUCUUCCUGCUCUAUGCCGAACCCAAGGCCUGACCUACGACUUCGUCUGUGAACCCGGCUUGACCUCUGCAUGAGCUUUAUCUGACAACUUAUGCUGACUGGAUCGCCUCCAAACUCUUUUCACUACUCUGAUAAAUCAUCUCUUUCAAUAUAGCUACUGCUGCUAACUUUGUUCCUGCUUAUUGCUAUCAAAAUAAUCUGACCAAAUGCUUGCUGUAUUUUGAUGGUAAAGGCUGUAACACUGUAUCCAGUGGUUCCCAAACAGUGGAAAAACUUUUCAGUGUAAACUUAAAUGACUAAAACCAAAUAUAAUGUAUGUAUAAAAGAUAAUGGACCUAUAUUUUUUUCAAUAAUAGCCUAUAAUUUUUGAGAAUUUACAAUCAAGAAAAUAGCGCUAGACAAUCAGGCCCCCAUUGAUUUAGUUAAAAUGCUUGAGCAUAAGAACACCAGCCAUGUCAACGUUUGGAAAUUAGCUUAAAAACAGAAAACAAAAUAUCUCAGCUCCGUGGCAAAACGCAUAGAAUUGCAGGGAAUUGACUUUAAAAUUGCAAAAUGUUCUUUCAGCUCCAUGGCAGGAUGUGUGGAAUUGCAGGAGAUUAGCUUUGAAACUGCUUCAUUUUCUUAUCUAGAUGCCAAGAUAAUAUUUGUUACUUAUUCUUUGGUCUGUGUCUGUUUUUUCUUUUUUAACAGCUCGACCCUUAUGUUGGGUCACGACUCAAAAGACACCUCAAUCGGUGGGUCAGUUUGGGAACCCCUGCUUUAUACAACGCUUACAGUUGCUAUCAAUGCAAUAAAACACUGCUAAUGCUUGAAGUUAAAAUUGCUUGAAUUCUGUGAGUUUAGGUCUGAACCUAUCUAGACUUUACUACGACUGAUUUUAGAUUUGUCAACUGCCCAAUCCCAGCUCUGCUUAGGGACAAUCUCACCCAUUACUACUUUAAUGUGAUCCUAAGAGUAAAAAGCUGUCAUCAUUGUUGUGCCAUAGAAAUAUAGCUCCAAGGUCUGUGGGUGAUGGUGAGUGAUGUAUGAAUGCAUUAUUUUUUAUAGCCUACUGAUGUACUAGUCCACGGUCACCACCAAAAUAUAUCUGAAUGAAACGUGCAUGUUAUUUCCCCCACUAGAGGGCACUGGGACAUCACAGUUUGAAGAGGAGGGCUGAAUGAGGAUUGUAUUAAUUCUACAGUCUCAUGUAAAAUUAUUUUUUAAAUACACUAAAAUAAUGUUGAUAUUCAAGCAAAUGUAGAGGGGGAAAACACACACAUGCUAUAAUUAUUUAUGUUACACCACCCACAUACAUUUAAAUCAAAAUAAAGCAGGUUUGUACUAGCACAAUUCCCCCCUGGCGGUGACUGUCAUGCUUCAUCCCUGUGACCUGUGAUGUUGCCUCCCACCA
This is an RNA transcript of Oncorhynchus mykiss (rainbow trout), 2411 nucleotides long. RefSeq lists it as uncharacterized. The record is from RefSeq and is a predicted model, not a curated record. Lineage: Eukaryota; Metazoa; Chordata; Actinopteri; Salmoniformes; Salmonidae.